GAGCAGGUGCUGGUAUGUAAGAGGCUUGAAAUUGGCAUGGUGAAUCUAAAACAAGUCUCAGCAGUGGUUAGCUGACCUCACCCAGGUUCUGAGCCCUACUCUGCCUGAUAACUUUUUUCUUAAGCCUCAGAGCUGAAAUGUUCCUGAGUUCUUUCCUAUUGGCUGGGAAGACCAAUUGAAGUUCCCUUGCCCAUGUUAGGAGGUGUACGCCUCCUGAACUAAAGAUAGAAACAGCUGGCCCUUCCAGGCAGCUAAAAGCCUCCAGACUAAGAGGUGUUCCCCACUCGGCAGCCAGACUCCUUGAAAUACCCUUUCAGUAAUUUUACCAACGCCUCCAUGUCUCUACUCUGCCAUAACAAAGGCUGUGGGCAGCAUUUUGACCCCCAAACCAACCUUCCUGAUUCCUGUUGCCAUCACCCUGGGGUCCCAAUCUUCCAUGACGCACUUAAGGGUUGGUCCUGCUGCCGGAAGCGAACUGUAGAUUUCUCUGAGUUCCUAAACAUCAAGGGCUGUACUGUGGGACCACACUGUGCUGAGAAGCUCCCUGAGGUCCCUCAACCUGAGGGCCCUGGUACAAGCAGUUCACUUCAGGAGCAAAGACCUCCGAAUGUGAUUCCAAAGUCAGCAGAGACUUUGCGUCGGGAGAGGCCCAAGUCAGAGUUGCCUCCAAAGUUGCUUCCACUAAAUAUAUCCCAAGCCCUGGAAAUGGCACUGGAACAGAAGGAAUUAGACCAAGAACCUGGAGCAGGAGUUGACAGUAGCCUGAUCCGGAUUGGAGCCAGCUGCCAGAACCCAGGAUGUGAUGCUGUAUACCAAGGCCUAGAGAGUGAUGCUACUCCAUGUACCUACCACCCUGGAGCACCUCAAUUCCAUGAGGGGGUGAAAUCUUGGAGCUGUUGUGGCAUCCAGACCCUGGAUUUUGGGGCGUUCCUGGCACAGCCAGGAUGCAGAGUUGGUAGACAUGAUUGGGGAAAGCAGCUGCCAGCAUCUUGCCGUCAUGAUUGGCAUCAGACAGAUUCCUUAGUAGUGGUGACUGUAUAUGGCCAGAUUCCACUUCCUGCAUUCAACUGGGUGAAGGCCAGUCAAACUGAGCUUCAUGUCCACAUUGUCUUUGAUGGUAACCGUGUGUUCCAAGCACAGAUGAAGCUCUGGGGGGGGACCAGCAACUACUCAGAAUUCCUGGAGAGGAUGGAGCCCAGUAUCCAUGCCAUGUCUUCACCAUUGUUCAGCAGUCAUAAAGUUUGAAGGGAGUGGAACUGAUCUCACUCCCAGCUUCAAGAGUGGGUGCACCACCGUGUAACACGAUCAAAUAUGGUGUAGCUGAUGUGAAGAGUUCAAGUGCUGCAGCCCUUUUGCUACCAAGAACAGAGUCAAAUUUACAAUGGAGCUCACACUUGGGACGACUGAACUGACAGAUGGUAGGAAAUUAGGCCCUUGGUGAUAUUGUUGAUCCACAGAAGCAAACCAAUUUCCAAGCCCACUCAUCCCCUGGAAUUUGGAACCAAUAGAUCCUCUUUAUUGUUUAAGACUACUGGAGUUGAGUUUUCUGUUACUUACAAAUAAAAAAGCAUAUAAACUUUA
RNA transcript from Cervus elaphus (red deer), 1581 nucleotides. It is a transcript of the gene named integrin subunit beta 1 binding protein 2, with no coding region annotated. The transcript is spliced from 13 exons. Lineage: Eukaryota; Metazoa; Chordata; Mammalia; Artiodactyla; Cervidae. The record is from RefSeq and is a predicted model, not a curated record.